This is a non-coding RNA of Prunus mume (Japanese apricot), 475 nucleotides long. The record is from RefSeq and is a predicted model, not a curated record. NCBI's taxonomy places the organism in Eukaryota, Viridiplantae, Streptophyta, Magnoliopsida, Rosales, Rosaceae.
ACAUUGUUACAGAGCAAUGGAUUCAAAUUCAGCGGCUUGGGCAGGCUCUUCAAAUUACACAAGUUUUUUCUGCUUGAAACUGGCUUCAGAACCAAAGGCUCCUCUUGGUUAGCAGAAUUCAAAGGAAUAUGGUUCCAGUGGCCAUCUAGUAGAUGCAACUUUACCUGCUACUAAAGUCAAAUAAUCAGAACUGAGUAUAAGGAAUGAUGAAACUGGACGUUUGAGCAUUCACACACAGACACAAAAGAAGACCACCGAUACGGAUAUCUGCAGAUCACGAAAGUCAGCAUUGUCCAUUUAGUACUACAGCCCUAAAGAUGAGUGGUAAAAUUCUAUCAUAUAGAAGGUUUAACAUAAUUUGUGAUAGGAGAAAGUUCAAGGUCAUUAAAAGUAAAUGAAACGCAGAUUGCAGAUUGGGUGUGUCCAAGACCCCAUGAAGAAUUCCUUGCUAAAUUUUAGAGCCCUCAAUGCAAAG